CCUCGGAUCAGGUAGGGAUACCCGCUGAACUUAAGCAUAUCAAUAAGCGGAGGAAAAGAAACCAACCGGGAUUGCCUCAGUAACGGCGAGUGAAGCGGCAAGAGCUCAAAUUUGAAAGCUGGCUCCUUCGGGGUCCGCAUUGUAAUUUGCAGAGGAUGCUUCGGGUGCGGCCCCUGUCUAAGUGCCCUGGAACGGGCCGUCAGAGAGGGUGAGAAUCCCGUCUGGGAUGGGGUGUCCGCGCCCGUGUGAAGCUCCUUCGACGAGUCGAGUUGUUUGGGAAUGCAGCUCUAAAUGGGUGGUAAAUUUCAUCUAAAGCUAAAUACUGGCCGGAGACCGAUAGCGCACAAGUAGAGUGAUCGAAAGAUGAAAAGCACUUUGAAAAGAGAGUUAAAAAGCACGUGAAAUUGUUGAAAGGGAAGCGCUUGCGACCAGACUCGCCUCCAGGGUUCAGCCGGCAUUCGUGCCGGUGUACUUCCCUGGGGGCGGGCCAGCGUCGGUUUGGGCGGCCGGUCAAAGGCUCCCGGAAUGUAGUGCCCUCCGGGGCACCUUAUAGCCGGGAGUGCAAUGCGGCCAGCCUGGACCGAGGAACGCG
RNAcentral lists this ribosomal RNA (592 nucleotides) under Aspergillus flavus. RNAcentral's name for it is "eukaryotic LSU rRNA". It matches the Rfam family "Eukaryotic large subunit ribosomal RNA", at positions 1 to 599 of the family's 3401-position model. Lineage: Eukaryota; Fungi; Ascomycota; Eurotiomycetes; Eurotiales; Aspergillaceae. The record is from RNAcentral.